This 717-nucleotide ribosomal RNA is filed under the name uncultured Staphylococcus sp. RNAcentral describes it as "bacterial SSU rRNA". It matches the Rfam family "Bacterial small subunit ribosomal RNA", at positions 57 to 756 of the family's 1533-position model. Lineage: Bacteria; Bacillati; Bacillota; Bacilli; Caryophanales; Staphylococcaceae. The record is from RNAcentral.
GCAAGUCGAGCGAACGGACGAGAAGCUUGCUUCUCUGAUGUUAGCGGCGGACGGGUGAGUAACACGUGGAUAACCUACCUAUAAGACUGGGAUAACUUCGGGAAACCGGAGCUAAUACCGGAUAAUAUUUUGAACCGCAUGGUUCAAAAGUGAAAGACGGUCUUGCUGUCACUUAUAGAUGGAUCCGCGCUGCAUUAGCUAGUUGGUAAGGUAACGGCUUACCAAGGCAACGAUGCAUAGCCGACCUGAGAGGGUGAUCGGCCACACUGGAACUGAGACACGGUCCAGACUCCUACGGGAGGCAGCAGUAGGGAAUCUUCCGCAAUGGGCGAAAGCCUGACGGAGCAACGCCGCGUGAGUGAUGAAGGUCUUCGGAUCGUAAAACUCUGUUAUUAGGGAAGAACAUAUGUGUAAGUAACUGUGCACAUCUUGACGGUACCUAAUCAGAAAGCCACGGCUAACUACGUGCCAGCAGCCGCGGUAAUACGUAGGUGGCAAGCGUUAUCCGGAAUUAUUGGGCGUAAAGCGCGCGUAGGCGGUUUUUUAAGUCUGAUGUGAAAGCCCACGGCUCAACUGUGGAGGGUCAUUGGAAACUGGAAAACUUGAGUGCAGAAGAGGAAAGUGGAAUUCCAUGUGUAGCGGUGAAAUGCGCAGAGAUAUGGAGGAACACCAGUGGCGAAGGCGACUUUCUGGUCUGUAACUGACGCUGAUGUGCGA